This 328-nucleotide unclassified non-coding RNA is filed under the name soil metagenome. RNAcentral describes it as "partial contains 5.8S ribosomal RNA, internal transcribed spacer 2, and large subunit ribosomal RNA". The stretch from base 1 to 120 matches the Rfam family "5.8S ribosomal RNA", at positions 35 to 154 of the family's 154-position model. The record is from RNAcentral.
GAUGAAGAACGUAGUGAAAUGCGAUAAGUAAUGUGAAUUGCAGAAUUCAGUGAAUCAUCGAAUCUUUGAACGCACAUUGCGCCUCUUGGUAUUCCGAGGGGCAUGCCUGUUCGAGCGUCAUUAUAACCCCUCAAGCUCAGCUUGGUGUUGGGGCCUGCUGCACUGGCAGCCCUUAAAAUCAGUGGCGGCGCCAUCUGGCUCUAAGCGUAGUAAUUCUUCUCGCUAUGGAGUCCUGGUGGAUGCUUGCCAUCAACCCCCAAUUUUUCUAUGGUUGACCUCGGAUCAGGUAGGGAUACCCGCUGAACUUAAGCAUAUCAAUAACGGAGGA